AUGAACGCUGGCGGCGUGCCUAAUACAUGCCAGUCGAGCGAACAGACGAGGAGCUUGCUCCUCUGACGUUAGCGGCGGACGGGUGAGUAACACGUGGAUAACCUACCUAUAAGACUGGGAUAACUUCGGGAAACCGGAGCUAAUACCGGAUAAUAUAUUGAACCGCAUGGUUCAAUAGUGAAAGACGGUUUUGCUGUCACUUAUAGAUGGAUCCGCGCCGCAUUAGCUAGUUGGUAAGGUAACGGCUUACCAAGGCGACGAUGCGUAGCCGACCUGAGAGGGUGAUUGGGCAACCUGGAACUUGGGCACGGUCCAGACUCCCACGGGAGGCAGCAGUAGGGAAUCUUCCGCAAUGGGGGGAAGCCUGACGGGGCAACGCCGCGUGAGUGAUGAAGGUCUUCGGAUCGUAAAACUCUGUUAUUAGGGAAGAACAAAUGUGUAAGUAACUAUGCACGUCUUGACGGUACCUAAUCAGAAAGCCACGGCUAACUACGUG
Molecule: ribosomal RNA, 496 nt
Filed under: uncultured bacterium
Lineage: Bacteria
Description: partial 16S ribosomal RNA
Rfam family: Bacterial small subunit ribosomal RNA
Source: RNAcentral